UCAGUCGACUCCUACGGGGAGGCAGCAGUGGGGGAAUAUUGCACAAUGGGCGCAAGCCUGAUGCAGCCAUGCCGCGUGUAUGAAGAAGGCCUUCGGGUUGUAAAGUACUUUCAGCAGUGAGGAAGGUGGGUAUGUUAAUAGCAUACUCAUUUGACGUUAGCUGCAGAAGAAGCACCGGCUAACUCCGUGCCAGCAGCCGCGGUAAUACGGAGGGUGCGAGCGUUAAUCGGAAUUACUGGGCGUAAAGCGCAUGCAGGUGGUUUGUUAAGUCAGAUGUGAAAGCCCGGGGCUCAACCUCGGAAUUGCAUUUGAAACUGGCAAACUAGAGUACUGUAGAGGGGGGUAGGAAUUUCAGGUGUAGCGGUGAAAUGCGUAGAGAUCUGAAGGAAUACCGGUGGCGAAGGCGGCCCCCUGGACAAAGACUGACGCUCAGAUGCGAAAGCGUGGGGAGCAAACAGGAUUAGAUACCCUGGUAG
RNAcentral lists this ribosomal RNA (476 nucleotides) under uncultured bacterium. Its description in RNAcentral is "bacterial SSU rRNA". It matches the Rfam family "Bacterial small subunit ribosomal RNA", at positions 328 to 793 of the family's 1533-position model. The record is from RNAcentral.